This 74-nucleotide transfer RNA is filed under the name Pseudoflavonifractor phocaeensis. RNAcentral describes it as "tRNA-Ile". It matches the Rfam family "tRNA". Rfam says of the family: Transfer RNA (tRNA) molecules are approximately 80 nucleotides in length. Their secondary structure includes four short double-helical elements and three loops (D, anti-codon, and T loops). The record is from RNAcentral. Lineage: Bacteria; Bacillati; Bacillota; Clostridia; Eubacteriales; Oscillospiraceae.
GGCCUUGUAGCUCAGAUGGCAAGAGCGUUUCGCCAAUCAUGAAAAUGUCGCCGGUUCGAGUCCGGCCAAGGCCA